RNAcentral lists this ribosomal RNA (492 nucleotides) under uncultured bacterium. Its description in RNAcentral is "partial 16S ribosomal RNA". It matches the Rfam family "Bacterial small subunit ribosomal RNA", at positions 29 to 507 of the family's 1533-position model. The record is from RNAcentral.
AGCGAACGCUGGCGGUAGGCCUAACACAUGCAAGUCGAACGGCAGCACAGUAAGAGCUUGCUCUUACGGGUGGCGAGUGGCGGACGGGUGAGGAAGACAUCGGAAUCUACUUUGUCGUGGGGGAUAACGCAGGGAAACUUACGCUAAUACCGGAUACGACCUACGGGUGAAAGCAGGGGAUCGUCGGACUUUGCGCGAUUGAAUGAGCCGAUGUAGGAUUAGCUAGUUGGCGGGGUAGAGGCCCACCAAGGCGACGAUCCGUAGCUGGUCUGAGAGGAGGGACAGCCACCCUGUCUCUGAGGCUCAGCACCGACUCUGACGGUAGGCAGCAGUGCGGACUCUUGCACGAUGCGCGCAAGCCUGAUCCAGCCCUAUCGCCUGGAUGCAGACGCCGUCCUGGUUGUAGAAUCAUUUUGUUGUGAAAAAAAAGCAGUUCUUUCAUCCCCCGCUGUUCUGACGGUACCCGCAGAAGAAGCACCGGCUAACUUCGUG